RNAcentral lists this ribosomal RNA (519 nucleotides) under uncultured Glomus. RNAcentral's name for it is "SSU rRNA". It matches the Rfam family "Eukaryotic small subunit ribosomal RNA", at positions 569 to 1092 of the family's 1831-position model. Lineage: Eukaryota; Fungi; Glomeromycota; Glomeromycetes; Glomerales; Glomeraceae. The record is from RNAcentral.
AGCAGCCGCGGUAAUUCCAGCUCCAAUAGCGUAUAUUAAAGUUGUUGCAGUUAAAAAGCUCGUAGUUGAAUUUCGGGAUCAGUAUGUUGGUCGUGCUUCGGUACGUACUGUCAUUACUGGUUUCUACCUUCUGAAGAACCUUGAUGUCAUUAAUUUGGUGUCUUGGGGAAUCAGGACUGUUACUUUGAAAAAAUUAGAGUGUUUAAAGCAAGCAUACGCUUGAAUACAUUAGCAUGGAAUAAUGAAAUAGGACGUUUGAUUCUAUUUUGUUGGUUUCUAGGAUCGACGUAAUGAUUAAUAGGGAUAGUUGGGGGCAUUAGUAUUCAAUUGUCAGAGGUGAAAUUCUUGGAUUUAUUGAAGACUAACUACUGCGAAAGCAUUUGCCAAGGAUGUUUUCAUUAAUCAAGAACGAAAGUUAGGGGAUCGAAGACGAUCAGAUACCGUCGUAGUCUUAACCAUAAACUAUGCCGACUAGGGAUCGGAUGAUGUUAUUUUUAANGACUCAUUCGGCGCCUUAAC